Molecule: long non-coding RNA, 3589 nt
Organism: Papaver somniferum (opium poppy)
Lineage: Eukaryota; Viridiplantae; Streptophyta; Magnoliopsida; Ranunculales; Papaveraceae
Exons: 11
Source: RefSeq, a predicted model, not a curated record
UACAGUAAGAGAGGAAGUGGCGAUUUGAGUUAGAAGGAGACAAAUCGAGAUUUUGGAAAGUUAGGGUUUCAAAAAUUCUUGUGAUUUCAGAUUGAAAGAGAGAAAGAAAAUGGGGAGGGGAUCGGAGGAGUAGAUCUGAUCCGGUGUCGGAUUAUUGCGAAUGGGGUUUUCGAUAAGAAAUUCUCCUCCAUCUUCUUCUUCUUCUGCUAGUUCGUAUCAUCUGCUCUGAUCUUAAACGCGUUCCGCUGACGGAUUCCACACAGCCAAGGUAGUUCAUAGAUCUGCUGGUGAUCAUGAACUUUCAAAUCAAACCACCCUGCAACCACCACCACCACCACCACCACCGCCACAAUCUACUCUCUCUUCUUUACAAUAAAGCUAUUAGGGUUUGAAGACUUGUUAUAAAUCUGUCUUCGUCAGUCAUGGCGAGGUAACUCGGGAGGGUAUUUUGGGCUACCGUUUCUUCGGGAUGGUCUUUUAGGCUACCGUUUUGCAGUCGUGCAGGAGAUGGAUUUAUUUCCUUGUCUCACUCUACUAGUCUGAGCGUCAAACUUUUGGCCUACUUUGAGUUUUUCUAUUGUGAAUGUAUUGUUUAGUGUCAGAUGUGUAUUACACUCUUUCAUUGUCUCAUUGAACAGGUAUCAGGUCCAGUCGUAGUUGCUGAUGGAGUGGCAGGGGCUGCUAUGUUUGAACUCCUACGUGUUGGUCAUGGCAGUCUUGUUGGGGAAAUUAUUCAAUUGGAAGGAUAUUCUGCCACCACUCAAGGCAUACAUAAAGACGAUAUCAACAACCAGCGCAAGAAUGUAAUUCUUUCUAUUGCAAACACUCAAGACUCCUCUUAGCCUACCUGUUAAAGCUAAUCCAAAGAAGAUAGAUGAGAAAGCUGUUACUGAGGUUUUCUUAAAAGUACUUGAUAAUUACAUCAGAUGGUGCAAAUAUUUGCACAUACUCCCUUUUUGGAACAGUUUAGAAGCGGAAAAUAAGGGCAUGAAACUCUUUUUUGGUAUCUUUAUACUUGUGUUUGGGGGGAGGCUGCAAAUGUCCGUUUUCUUCCAGAAUGCUAAUGAUAUAUAUUUCACCAUAUGUCAAAGGAGCUGAAUGUGAUGUUGGACCAUGGUGCGGUGAGGCGCAACCAGCUGUUAGCUGUACUGGUGAUAAUGGUUCUGUGUCUUACCUUGAACUAGUCAUUGCUCCCAAUUAUGAGACAAUGGUUAAGGUUAGUGCGUUAUUUUUCUUAUAUGGUUUCAGACUGAAAGAGAGAUAGAAAAUGGGGAGGGGAGGAGUAUAUCUGAUCUGGUGUCGGAUUAUUGCAAAGGGGUUUCCGAUAAGAAAAUCUACUCCAUCUUCUUCUUCUUCUUCUCGAUCUGAAAUCAAGAGCGAGAUGAUCGCUACAUAUUCAGAGUAGUUCGUAUCAUCUGCUCUGAUCUUAGAUGGUAAACAGUGGAACGUGUUUCUCUGAUGGAUUCCACAUAGCGAAGGUGGUUCAUAAAUCAUCAAAAUGGAGGGAAGCGGGAGUUUUUCUUUGAGGGUUUGUUUGUUGCCCCUCUCCUGAUAUCUUUAUGAUUUACCAAGAGGUGUAAAAUCAGAGCUGAUGAUUAUGAACUUGACAAAUCAAACAACCCUUCAACCCACCACCACAAUCCUCUCUCUCUCUCUCUCUCUCUCUCUCUCUCGCUCUCAGUCUAUCUCUUCUUCACAAUGAGGCAGUGAUUAUUUCAUGUAAAGCUACUAGAGUUUGGAGACUUGUAUAAAUCUGUCUUCAUCAGUCUUGGCAAGGUAACUCGGGAUGGUCUUUUAGGCUACCGUUUUUUCGGGAUGGUCUUUUAAGACUACCGUUUCUGCAGCCAUGCAGGAGAUAGAUUUAUUUCCUUGUCUCACACUACUAGUCUGAGCCUCCUGUCUCCCUCCUAUUUUUUUUUUCUGGAAAAAUAAAAACUGUAAGGGUAAAAUUUUCUUGGACUCAAACUUCUGGCCAACUUUAAAGAGUUUUUCUAUGUCUGAAUAUAUUGGACAGAUGUGUAUUUUCACUCUUUCCUUGUCUCAUUGAACAGGUAUCGGGUCUAGUCGUUGUUGCUGAUGGAGUGGCAGGGACUGCUAUGUAUGAACUCGUGUUGGUCACUAUAGUCUUAUUGGGGAAAUCUUUCUAAUAGAAGGAGAUUCUGCUACCACUCAAGGGCUCGGCUGCUGGCAUAAUUUUUAACUAAGAUGUGCUUGAGUUCUGAAGAUUCCACGCCUGCCUUACUUGAGUUUUAGACUCGAGUUUCUUUUGGUAUGCAGAUGGAAAAAGAGGUGAAUGCGAUGUUGACCCUGGCGAGGCGCAGCCAGCUCUUAGCUGUACUGGUGAUAUGGUUCUGUGUCUUACCUUUAACAAGUCAUUUCUCUCAUUUAUGAGACAAUGGUUAAGGAAUCACAAUUGCGGAAUACUCCCGAGAUAUGGGUUACAAUGUUUGUAUGAUGGCUGAUUUUACAUCUCCGACGGGCAGAGCCUUUGCGUGAAAUUUCAGGCUGAGAUGCCUGCUGAUAGUGGUUAUCCUGCAUAUUUGGUAAAGUGAAAUGUCUUGGUGGCCUGGACUGUACCUGUAGUUACCAUCGUUAGUGCAGCUUUCCCUUCUGGAGGAGAUUUCUCUGAUCUUGUUACUUCUGCAACUCUCAGUAUUGUCGAAGCUGAGAUUGGUUAUCCUGCAUAUAUUGCGGCACGUUUAGCUUCCUUUUACAAGCGUGCUGGUAAACUAAAAUGAUAAAUCAAGCAGUAGAUGUCGUUUGGAGUACCCAUGCUGUUUUGUUUCUCACGAAUCCUUGUAUCCAGCUUCCUACGAAGAGUGGUGGAAUUUCAAAUGGUGAUUUGAAGAGAGAAUAUUUAUGAAGAUAUUGGGAAUCCAACAGAUUCUUGGACAGAGCUGUGUUAUUUAUUCUUCAAUAAAAAAGGCUUUUGUAUUAACUGAUAUCCAUAGCCCCUUUUAUCCAUCUUUUUCAAAUUGGCGGGCUUGAUACCAAGAAAGAUGCUUCCUUAGCAAUAUCAAAUGCUGCAUCUGGUGGUACCUGUUAAGAAAUCAAGUCAGCAUUGAAGGAAAUUCCUCAAACGAACGUAUGAUAUUGUUUGAUGAGUUGUUUGUAUGAGAGUGUUUAUUUUCUUAUGCAAAUUUCUUUUAAUGCAACGGGAAUUUGUUGAGUAGUUGGGAUUUAGUGUUUAUAUUAAGGCUAGGUGCUGGCAUGUUUUGUCGGGAUUUAAAAUUAGUUUGGUAAUAUUCUGAAGAAUGCAUUUAGCAGUAAUUUAUGAUGUCCCUGAUAGUUAUUAAAAAUUUGUAAUAUGCGUAGGUAUAAGUUAGGUCAAUAUUAAUGACAGUUUAUCUUACGAAAGCUACACCGUAAAAAAAACUAUAAUAAAUAAUGGAUACUCCAUCAUUUAAUACUUUUUGCCAUGCUAAUCUGACUAGACGGAGUAACAUCUUGAAUAGACCGAAAUAUUUUUGAAGCUGUUGCAUGCCGUUCAUGAUUUUUGUUGAUCUCAAGGGCCUUUUUGAAGUGUAUUAUUGAUUCCAUACUUCCAGUUUGUCUUCAAGAUUUUUCGUUUUAAUUUUUAUAAUCUAAU